This 675-nucleotide ribosomal RNA is filed under the name Leptosporomyces aff. fuscostratus UC2022884. RNAcentral's name for it is "eukaryotic LSU rRNA". The stretch from base 266 to 420 matches the Rfam family "5.8S ribosomal RNA". The record is from RNAcentral. Lineage: Eukaryota; Fungi; Basidiomycota; Agaricomycetes; Atheliales; Atheliaceae.
UCUUGGUCAUUUAGAGGAAGUAAAAGUCGUAACAAGGUUUCCGUAGGUGAACCUGCGGAAGGAUCAUUAUCGAAUUAUAAGCGAGGGUUGUCGCUGGCCUUUCGAGGCAUGUGCACGCCCGAGCUCUUAAUCCAAACCACACCUGUGAACCCUCUGUAGGGCCUCUCCUGUCGUGGGAGGGCGUCCUAUGUUUAUCAUCAACUUCGUAUGUCUAUAGAAUGUCAAUCGAUGCCUUCGCCUUAAAACAGCGUCGGUAAACUUAUACAACUUUCAACAACGGAUCUCUUGGCUCUCGCAUCGAUGAAGAACGCAGCGAAAUGCGAUAAGUAAUGUGAAUUGCAGAUUUUCAGUGAAUCAUCGAAUCUUUGAACGCACCUUGCGCUCCUUGGUAUUCCGAGGAGCAUGCCUGUUUGAGUGUCAUUAAAUUCUCAACCCCGCUUCGAUUUGUUUCGUCGUCGGAGGAUUGGACUUGGAGCGUGCUGGCCCUCCCCGGGGUCGGCUCCUCUUAAAAGCAUCAGCGGAAGGUACCUCUGGUCCGUCUGGUCAUCAGUGUGAUAAUCGUGUUGCGCUGUUGGCUUUGGAUCGGAGAUCCGCUUACAAUGGUCUUCGGACGAUUCUAUAACAAUUUGACCUCAAAUCAGGUAGGACUACCCGCUGAACUUAAGCAUAUCAAUA